UGAAAGGCAUCUAAGAAGAUUAUUAAAAUCCCUUGGUUUAAAACGGAGGAGUUUUGACAGGCCCCAUAAUGAAAUUCGCCAAGCUGUUAUGGUACAGUAUGUCUUAAAGCAGUGUUCUGCAUUCCUACUCCUGGAAAGCUACUAACUUUCUGAUUUCAGUUCCAGUCAUUUUCUAAAACACCUGCAGUCAACUGCAAAUAACUGCCUUAAGUAAAUCUCCAAGUGGCUAAGUGUGGUGUCCCAUACUCUGAAUUUGUGCUCUGCAUUUAACCCACCCAAGUGCACAGACACAGCAGUGAGUAGUAAACACACACACCGUGAACAAACACCCUGAGCAGUGAGCAGCCACUUUUUGCUGCGGCACCCAGAAAGCAGUUGUGGGUUCAGUGUCUUGCUCAGGGGGACUUCUGUUGUGGGUAAUGCGGGUGGAAGAAAGUGCUGGUCAUUCACUCCCCCAACCUACAUUUCCUGCCGGUGCUGAGACUCAAACAUGUGACCUUCAGGCUACGAGUCUGACUCUCUAACCAUUAGGCCCCGACUACCCAUAAACCUAAUUGUGUUUCUACUGGACACUGGCAGUAAUUUCCAUGUAAACUCACAUGCUUUGAUUUGUUGAUUCUGAUGCAUCUAAUUAAGCCAGGGUGUCCAACCCUGCUCCUGGAGGGUGUGUGUGUGUGUGUGUGUGUGUAAAAUAUUUAUUGUGGUAAUAAUCCAAAAUAAUAUUUAUAUUAGCUUAUGCACUGCUCACCUUGGCAAGGAAUCCGUGCAAUGCACAAACGGGUUCGUGAUGUCAGAGGAAUCCAGCCUUGCUACAGGAAUGAUGUGGCUCUAAUAAUGAGAGAACUUGAUGCCAGUGCUCUUCUUAGAAGAUGUCCUGGGAAAAAAAAGGAUUGAACGUAGGAACUACUUCAGCCAUGGACCAAAUUACACUUGGCGUAUUGAUGGAAAUGACAAAUUGAAAUUCUUUGGAAUCUGGACAUAUCUUGGUAUUGAUGGGUUUUCUAGGAAAAUCAUUUGGCUUAAGGCUGGCACCUCAAACCGACAGCAAACCUUCGUUGCAAGGUACUUCUUUGAUGCCAUUCAGGAACACAGUGGUUGCCCACGAUUCAUAAGGGCAGACAGAGGAAAGGAAAAUCUUCUCGUCGGACAGAUGCAAGUGGCAUUUCACUUCCGGGAGUCUGGUGAUCAAGGACGAGACUCCUUCAGAGUGGGCACAUCAGUACAUAACCAGGCAUGUGAGCAUAAAUGGAUUUAUAUAUUAUAAUGCAUGCAAUAAAUAUACCAACUGCUGGCCA
Molecule: long non-coding RNA, 1295 nt
Organism: Cyprinus carpio (common carp)
Lineage: Eukaryota; Metazoa; Chordata; Actinopteri; Cypriniformes; Cyprinidae
Source: Ensembl